CCUACGGGAGGCAGCAGUGAGGAAUAUUGGUCAAUGGGCGCGAGCCUGAACCAGCCAAGUAGCGUGAAGGAUGAAUGCCCUACGGGUUGUAAACUUCUUUUAUAAAGGAAUAAAGUGAGGCACGUGUGGCUUUUUGUAUGUACUUUAUGAAUAAGGAUCGGCUAACUCCGUGCCAGCAACCGCGGUAAUACGGAGGAUCCGAGCGUUAUCCGGAUUUAUUGGGUUUAAAGGGAGCGUAGAUGGUUUGUUAAGUCAGUGGUGAAAGUUUGCGGCUCAACCGUAAAAUUGCAAUUGAUACUGGCAGUCUUGAGUACAGUUGAGGUAGGCGGAAUUCGUGGUGUAGCGGUGAAAUGCAUAGAUAUCACGAAGAACUCCGAUUGCGAAGGCAGCUUACUAAGCUGCCACUGACAUUGAUGCUCGAAAGUGUGGGGAUCAAACAGGAUUAGAUACCCUGGUAGUC
Molecule: ribosomal RNA, 460 nt
Filed under: uncultured bacterium
Lineage: Bacteria
Description: partial 16S ribosomal RNA
Rfam family: Bacterial small subunit ribosomal RNA
Source: RNAcentral